RNAcentral lists this ribosomal RNA (253 nucleotides) under uncultured bacterium. RNAcentral's name for it is "partial 16S ribosomal RNA". It matches the Rfam family "Bacterial small subunit ribosomal RNA", at positions 524 to 776 of the family's 1533-position model. The record is from RNAcentral.
UACGGGGGGGGCAAGCGUUGUUCGGAAUUACUGGGCGUAAAGGGCUCGUAGGCGGCCAACUAAGUCAGACGUGAAAUCCCCCGGCUUAACCGGGGAACUGCGUCUGAUACUGGAUGGCUUGAGUUCGGGAGAGGGAUGCGGAAUUCCAGGUGUAGCGGUGAAAUGCGUAGAUAUCUGGAGGAACACCGGUGGCGAAGGCGGCAUCCUGGACCGAUACUGACGCUGAGGAGCGAAAGCCAGGGGAGCAAACGGG